UACGUAGGGUCCGAGCGUUGUCCGGAAUUACUGGGCGUAAAGAGCUCGUAGGUGGUUUGUCGCGUUGUUCGUGAAAACUCACAGCUCAACUGUGGGCGUGCGGGCGAUACGGGCAGACUUGAGUACUGCAGGGGAGACUGGAAUUCCUGGUGUAGCGGUGGAAUGCGCAGAUAUCAGGAGGAACACCUAUGGCGAAAGCAGCUCUCUGGGACGGUACUGACGCUGAGACGCGAAAGCGUGGGGAGCGAACAGG
This 253-nucleotide ribosomal RNA is filed under the name uncultured bacterium. RNAcentral's name for it is "partial 16S ribosomal RNA". It matches the Rfam family "Bacterial small subunit ribosomal RNA", at positions 524 to 776 of the family's 1533-position model. The record is from RNAcentral.